GUGGGGAAUCUUCCGCAAUGGGCGAAAGCCUGACGGAGCAACGCCGCGUGAGUGAAGACGGCCUUCGGGUUGUAAAGCUCUGUUAUACGGGACGAAUAAUCUUGUGGUUAAUACCCAUGAGAAGUGACGGUACCGUAAGAGAAAGCCACGGCUAACUACGUGCCAGCAGCCGCGGUAAUACGUAGGUGGCAAGCGUUGUCCGGAAUUAUUGGGCGUAAAGGGCGCGCAGGCGGCUUCUUAAGUCUGUCUUAAAAGUGCGGGGCUUAACCCCGUGAUGGGAUGGAAACUGGGAAGCUCAGAGUAUCGGAGAGGAAAGCGGAAUUCCUAGUGUAGCGGUGAAAUGCGUAGAUAUUAGGAGGAACACCAGUGGCGAAAGCGGCUUUCUGGACGAAAACUGACGCUGAGGCGCGAAAGCCAGGGGAGCGAACGGGAUUAGAAACCCUAGUAGUCC
Molecule: ribosomal RNA, 451 nt
Filed under: uncultured bacterium
Lineage: Bacteria
Description: bacterial SSU rRNA
Rfam family: Bacterial small subunit ribosomal RNA
Source: RNAcentral